UCGGAUCGUUUUAGAAACAUCAGUGGCCAACAGAUCGCCAGAUCGUUGAGCUGCAUUGGCGGGAUUUCGCCGUCUUCGUUUCUCUUUCUUCGCGGACGAACACGCGCCGGGGCUGCGCUGUGCGAUUGCAUUCGGCGCUGGUCGCCGAUGCUUGCACGCAAGACCCUAAUCCUGAAAGGGAUAGCGUUAGGGCUUGUAGCUCAGUUGGUUAGAGCGCGCGCUUGAUAAGCGUGAGGUCGGAAGUUCAAGUCUUCCCAGGCCCACCACUUUCAUCGAGUGAGCAUUCGUCUUCUGGUUACGGGGCCAUAGCUCAGCUGGGAGAGCGCGUGCUUUGCAAGCAUGAGGUCGUCGGUUCGAUCCCGUCUGGCUCCACCAGAUGGUUUGAUCACCGAGAUCUUGACCGUCGUCCGCGAAACAUCACUUCGCAUCUUGCUAGUCUGGAUAGACAGCAAGUUGCGUGUUUUCUGACAUCGUAAAGAGGAGAUCGAUCCGAGUUGGGUCGUGCAGCAUAUCGUUGCGCGAGCCUUCAUUAUCUCCGGAUCAUUUCGGCGCUCGCUUUCAGCCGUGAGGUUGAAUGCGGGUUGUAAAUGAUCCUUUUAGCGAAGCUUGACCGCCUCGCUAUCGGAACGAUCUUACGAAGCAAGCUGGUCUUUCUAGUCAAUGUCCGGCUGUACGUAGCAUUCAUCGAGGGUGCGCGCCUGAGACUUCGGUCUCUUGGCAAUCGUACGGACAACAUUCUGCCGAGUGUGUGGACAUUGAUAAUGAGAGCAAUCAAGUGCCUUAAGGGUGUUCGGUGGAUGCCUUGGCGCUGAGAGGCGAUGAAGGACGUGCUACGCUGCGAUAAGCCGUGGGGAGCUGCGAAGAAGCUUUGAUCCGCGGAUU
RNAcentral lists this unclassified non-coding RNA (882 nucleotides) under Bradyrhizobium subterraneum. RNAcentral describes it as "partial 16S-23S ribosomal RNA intergenic spacer". The stretch from base 770 to 882 matches the Rfam family "Bacterial large subunit ribosomal RNA", at positions 1 to 112 of the family's 2925-position model. Lineage: Bacteria; Pseudomonadati; Pseudomonadota; Alphaproteobacteria; Hyphomicrobiales; Nitrobacteraceae. The record is from RNAcentral.